This 494-nucleotide ribosomal RNA is filed under the name uncultured bacterium. RNAcentral's name for it is "partial 16S ribosomal RNA". It matches the Rfam family "Bacterial small subunit ribosomal RNA", at positions 28 to 507 of the family's 1533-position model. The record is from RNAcentral.
GACGAACGCUGGCGGCGUGCUUAACACAUGCAAGUCGAACGGUGAAGCGCCUUCCUUUUUGGUGGGUGUGGAUGAGUGGCGAACGGGUGAGUAACACGUGAGUAACCUGCCCCCUUCUUCUGGAUAACCGCAUGAAAGUGUGGCUAAUACGGGCUAUUCUGGGUCUGUCGCAUGAUGGGUCUGGGAAAGAUAUUGUUUCGGUGGGGGAUGGGCUCGCGGCCUAUCAGCUUGUUGGUGGGGUGAUGGCCUACCAAGGCGGUGACGGGUAGCCGGCCUGAGAGGGUGGACGGUCACACUGGGACUGAGACACGGCCCAGACUCCUACGGGAGGCAGCAGUGGGGAAUAUUGCACAAUGGGCGCAAGCCUGAUGCAGCGACGCCGCGUGAGGGAUGGAGGCCUUCGGGUUGUGAACCUCUUUCGCCAGUGAAGCAGGCCUGCCUCGUUUGUGGGUGGGUUGACGGUAGCUGGAUAAGAAGCGCCGGCUAACUACGUG